GGCUAGAUAGCAUAGCGGUUGAUGCAAAAGAUUGCAAAUCUUUUUACAUUGGUUCGAAUCCAAUUCUAGCUU
This 72-nucleotide transfer RNA is filed under the name Gracilaria vermiculophylla. Its description in RNAcentral is "Agarophyton vermiculophyllum tRNA-Cys". It matches the Rfam family "tRNA". Rfam says of the family: Transfer RNA (tRNA) molecules are approximately 80 nucleotides in length. The record is from RNAcentral. Lineage: Eukaryota; Rhodophyta; Florideophyceae; Gracilariales; Gracilariaceae.